This 253-nucleotide ribosomal RNA is filed under the name uncultured bacterium. RNAcentral's name for it is "partial 16S ribosomal RNA". It matches the Rfam family "Bacterial small subunit ribosomal RNA", at positions 524 to 776 of the family's 1533-position model. The record is from RNAcentral.
UACGGAGGGUGCAAGCAUUGAUCGGAAUUACUGGGCGUAAAGGGCGCGUAGGCGGUAAGGUAAGUCAGAUGUGAAAUUCCGCAGCUCAACUGCGGAGCUGCAUUUGAAACUGCCUUGCUAGAGUGUAGUUAGGGAAAACGGAAUUCCACGUGUAGCGGUGAAAUGCGUAGAUAUGUGGAAGAACACCGGUGGUGAAGACGGUUUUCUGGGCUAUAACUGACGCUGAGGCGCGAAAGCUAGGGGAGCAAACAGG